AUGGCCCUCAUCUUCACAGUUCUCCUCAUCUUUCUCUUCCUCCACACCACAAGCCCGGCUCUCUUGGGAGAAGAGGAUGACCGCUCCGUGCUUUUAGUCUUCAAGGCCGGCGUGUCCGGCGACCCCAAGGGAGCGCUCGCUGGCUGGGGCUCGCCGGACGUGUGCAACUGGACCGGUGUCGCUUGCGACACGGAGCACCAUGUUGUCGAGUUAAUACUAAGUGAACAAGAGCUCUCUGGCGAGGUCUCGCCCGCGCUUGGCAACCUCUCCCACCUCGGGACACUCAACCUCUCUGGCAACCACUUCACCGGCAGCGUCCCACCGGAGCUCGGCAACCUCUCCUACCUCAAGUUUCUCGACGUGUCCUUGAACACGCUCACAGGGACGGUUCCGCCAGAACUCGGCAACCUCUCCUACCUUAAGUUUCUCGAUGUGUCCUUGAACACGCUCACCGGGACGGUUCCGCCAGAGCUUGGCAACCUCUCCCGCCUAAAGUUUCUCGACCUGUCGUCGAACAUGCUCACCCGGACGGUCCCGCCGGAUCUUGGAAACCUGUCCCGCCUCAAGUUUCUCGAUGUGUCGUCGAACACGCUCACCGGGGCGGUCUCGCCGGAGCUCGGCAAGCUCUCGAGACUCGGCAUCCUCGAUCUCUCCGAGAACGUUUUCUCCGGGGCGGUGCCGCAGGAGCUUGGGAAGCUUUCUCGGCUGACGCAGCUCAGCCUCAACGGAAACCAGUUGAAGGGAUCGAUUCCGGUGGAGCUCUUGCGUAUUCGGCGCUUGGUAUACCUCAAUCUCGGAGACAACAACCUCUGCGGGCAUAUCCCGUCUGCUAUCUUCUGCAACCUCUCCGCCUUGAACUACAUUGAUAUGUCGUCCAACUUUUUGGACGGCGAGAUCCCCAUCCAUGCGGAUUGCCCACUCCCCGAGUUGAUGUCCCUCGUGUUGUGGUCCAACAAACUCAAUGGCAGCAUCCCUCCCUCGCUGUCAAACUCGACGAAGCUCCGAUGGCUGCUACUGCAGUCGAACUUCCUCACUGGCGAGCUGCCGACGGAUGACAUGUUUAGUGGUAUGAGGAGCCUCGAGUAUUUGCACCUAUCGUCCAACUUCCUCGCGAACUCGCGGAACAACACCGACCUUGAGCCAUUCUUCGCCUCACUUACCAACUGCACUGGCCUGAAAGAGCUCAGCAUCGCUAGGAAUAACAUUGCCGGCACGAUCCCGCCUGUCAUCGGUCGCCUCUCUCCCGGCCUCAUGCAACUCCACCUUCAACUUAAUAGAAUCUUUGGUCCGAUCCCGGCAAACAUCUCCAACCUCACCAACCUCAGCUCCCUCAACCUCUCCCAUAACCUCCUCAACGGCUCCAUCCCACAGGGCAUCACCAACAUGCGGCAGCUCGAGCGGCUGCACCUCUCAAACAACCUGCUCUCCGGUGAUAUCCCGUUGUCCCUAGGCAUGAUCCCAUGGCUCGGGCACGUCAAUUUUUCGCAGAACCGGCUCACCGGCGCCAUUCCUCCGAGCAUAGUGCAGUGUCUGAUGAUGCAAAAUCUUGACCUCUCCUACAACAUGCUGCAAGGCAAGAUCCCAGCUGGCUUGUCUAGGAUGAGCGGAUUGCUCAACCUCAACCUCGCCGGCAACCUGCUAUCUGGUGCGAUCCCGAUGACCAUCAGCGAGAUGGUUAGGCUGCAAUUGCUUAACCUGUCCUCAAACAAGCUCUCCGGCACGAUCCCGUCACAGCUCGGCAGGUGCAUCGAGCUCAAGUACCUCGACGUGUCCUGCAAUGGCCUCACGGGGACCCUCCCUCAAUCCUUGGAGAAGGUGGCGUCGCUGGUGCGUGUUAACUUUUCAUACAACGACUUCUCAAGCGAGGUGCCGAGUGGCGGGGCCUUUGCAGGGUUUCGGGCGGACGCGUUCCUCGGCAAUGACAGACUGUGUGCGGGGACGGCGUCGAUGACGCCUGGGUUGGCUAGGUGCAGCGGCGCGAAGCGCAACUUGUUCCAUAACCGGCGAGUGGUGUUGCUCGUCGUCGGCACAGUCGCGAGCUUCACGAUGGCAAUCAUUGGGCUCGCCGUGUGCCGCACCGUGGGACGAGACAGGCGGCGCUCACCGCUGCUACCAUGCGAACCCAACACGAGGGGGGACUACCCGAGGAUCUCCCAACGGGAGCUCUACGAGGCGACGGGCGGGUUCGAGCAGUCGAGGCUGAUCAACGCGAGGCGGUUCGGGCGCGUGUACAAUGGGACGCUCCGUGACGGCACGCGUGUUGCCGUCAAGGUGCUCGACCCCACUACCGGAGGCGGCGAGGUCUCCCGGAGUUUCAAGCGGGAGUGCGAUGUGCUGAGGCGGACGCGGCACCGGAACCUGCUGCGUGUGGUCACCACGUGCAGCCAGCCGGACUUCCACGCGAUCGUGCUCCCGCUGAUGACCAAUGGUAGCCUCGAGAGCCACCUCUACCGGCGUGAUGGCGGCCGCGGACGUGGCAUGGACCUCGCAUGGCUGGUUGGCAUCGCCGGCGACAUAGCCGAGGGGCUCACCUACCUGCAUCACUACGCACCCAUCCGCGUCGCGCACUGCGACCUUAAGCCCAGCAACGUGCUCCUCGACGACGACAUGACGGCCAUCGUGGCUGACUUUGGCAUCGCGCGGCUGGUCAAGGACAUGGGCGACGACGACGACGCAGGCUUUGCCGAUCCAUGCAACUCCACUGCAGGAUUUUUGCAAGGCUCUGUGGGCUACAUCGCGCCAGGUAAUUUACAAGAUAAUCGAAUUAACAUGGCAUAUGAGUAG
This 2784-nucleotide ribosomal RNA is filed under the name Triticum aestivum (bread wheat). RNAcentral describes it as "partial small subunit ribosomal RNA". The record is from RNAcentral. Lineage: Eukaryota; Viridiplantae; Streptophyta; Magnoliopsida; Poales; Poaceae.